This 505-nucleotide ribosomal RNA is filed under the name uncultured bacterium. Its description in RNAcentral is "partial 16S ribosomal RNA". It matches the Rfam family "Bacterial small subunit ribosomal RNA", at positions 28 to 507 of the family's 1533-position model. The record is from RNAcentral.
GACGAACGCUGGCGGCGUGCCUAAUACAUGCAAGUCGAACGCACAGUUUAUACCGUAGCUUGCUACACCAUAGACUGUGAGUUGCGAACGGGUGAGUAACGCGUAGGUAACCUGCCUGGUAGCGGGGGAUAACUAUUGGAAACGAUAGCUAAUACCGCAUAAUAUUAAUUAUUGCAUGAUAAUUGAUUGAAAGAUGCAACUGCAUCACUACCAGAUGGACCUGCGUUGUAUUAGCUAGUAGGUGAGGUAACGGCUCACCUAGGCGACGAUACAUAGCCGACCUGAGAAGGUGAUCGGCCACACUGGGACUGAGACACGGCCCAGACUCCCACGGGAGGCAGCAGGAGGGAAUCUUUGGCAAUGGACGAAAGUCUGAACGAGCAACGCCGCGUGAGUGAAGAAGGGUUUCGGAUCGUAAAGCUCUGUUGUAAGAGAAGAACGGGUGUGAGAGUGGAAAGUUCACACUGUGACGGUAUCUUAACAGAAAGGGACGGCUAACUACGUG